RNAcentral lists this ribosomal RNA (497 nucleotides) under uncultured bacterium. RNAcentral describes it as "partial 16S ribosomal RNA". It matches the Rfam family "Bacterial small subunit ribosomal RNA", at positions 28 to 507 of the family's 1533-position model. The record is from RNAcentral.
GAUGAACGCUGGCGGCGUGCCUAAUACAUGCAAGUCGAGCGAACGGACGAGAAGCUUGCUGCUCUGACGUUAGCGGCGGACGGGUGAGUAACAUGUGGAUAACCUACCUAUAAUACUGGGAUAACUUCGGGAAACCGGCGCUAAUACCGGAGAAUAUUUUGAACCGCAUGGUUCAAAAGUGAAAGACGGUGUUGCUGUAACUUAUAGAUGGAUCCGCGCUGCAUUAGCUAGUUGGUAAGGUAACGGCUUACGAAGGCAACUAUGCAUAGCCGAAGUGAGAGGCGGGUCGGCCACACUAGAACUGGAACACGGACCAGGGUCCUACGGGACGCAGCAGUAGCGUAUGUUCCGCAGAGGGCGGAAGCCUUACGGAGCAACGGCGCGUGAGUGAUGGCGAUCUUCGGAGCGUAAAACUCUGUUAUUGGGGAAGAACAUAUGUGUAAGUUACUGUGCACAUCGUGACGGUACCUAGUCAGGAAGCCACGGCUAACUACGUG